GGCGGCAGGCCUAACACAUGCAAGUCGGGCGGUAACAGGGAAGCUUGCUUCUCGCUGACGAGCGGCGACGGGUGAGUAAUGCAUAGGAAUCUGCCUGGUAGUGGGGGAUAGCCCAGAGAAAUCUGGAUUAAUACCGCAUACGCCCUACGGGGGAAAGCAGGGGGGGACUCUUCGGAGCCUUGCGCUAUCAGAUGAGCCUAUGUCGGAUUAGCUUGUUGGUGAGGUAACGGCUCACCAAGGCGACGAUCCGUAGCUGGUCUGAGAGGAUGAUCAGCCACACUGGGACUGAGACACGGCCCAGACUCCUACGGGAGGCAGCAGUGGGGAAUAUUGGACAAUGGGCGCAAGCCUGAUCCAGCCAUGCCGCGUGUGUGAAGAAGGCCUUCGGGUUGUAAAGCACUUUCAGCGGGGAGGAAAGGAUGGUUGCUAAUAUCAGCCGUCUGUGACGUUACUCGCAGAAGAAGCACCGGCUAACUCCGUG
RNAcentral lists this ribosomal RNA (481 nucleotides) under uncultured bacterium. Its description in RNAcentral is "bacterial SSU rRNA". It matches the Rfam family "Bacterial small subunit ribosomal RNA", at positions 38 to 507 of the family's 1533-position model. The record is from RNAcentral.